Long non-coding RNA from Neofelis nebulosa (Clouded leopard), 1737 nucleotides. RefSeq lists it as uncharacterized. The record is from RefSeq and is a predicted model, not a curated record. NCBI's taxonomy places the organism in Eukaryota, Metazoa, Chordata, Mammalia, Carnivora, Felidae. The transcript has 3 exons.
ACUUCUGCUGCUCUGGAGUGUAGCAGGGAGGUUAGGUUUCCUGCAGAGUCUGCAGAUAGUUCCUCAAAGCCACCGCACACGCGGAAGACAGGCUGGGACAUCCCACAAGGGCAACGAUGAUGGCUGCGGGAUUCCUGGAGAAGCACGGACCUGUCUCCUAAGACGAGAGCCUAGUGCUUUGCACAGAGACUUAGAUGCAGAGCAGUGAGACUUCACAGGCACUCUGUCUUGUGCUGAGGAAUAAAAGGAACAUCCCCAUCUGUGUGGGGGCUGCGGGAAUGGGCGGAGGAUGACCCUCACCAUUGAGGUCACACAUUGAAUUAGGACUUGGAUGAGCCACUCUGUGCCUUGGGUGAGGUCACUCAAAUGCCCUGCCUCUGAAUGAGGGCCUUGAACUCGGUGGUGCUUUCGCAUCCUUUCGACUCUAAAAUAAGAUGACAUUUAACAGGAGCCCUGUGCACUGACAGAACUGGAGUGGCCGUCAGUGCAACAGCCCUGUAUUGUUGACAGAUCUGGCCAGACGCCAGAGAUGCAUGGCCUCGCCUCUGAGUGUCCUUGAAGGCCAGCCUCCGGACAAGGGACAGCAGUGUGUCCAAGCCCAUCGGGUGUGGCUUCCUGUCACGGCACAGAAAAAGACCCUUGUCUGCACUCACCACUGCUCUGCCUCCAGGGCACUCGCUCGUGCUCUGACCACGCAUCUGAAUUCCACGCAGGGGGCUGGGGCGGAAGGAGGAUGUCUAGGACACAUCAGAACGUGGUACCUGGGAUCUCGUUAGGUAGGAACCGGGGUUUGGUCUCCUCGGCCAGGCUUCAUCCUUCCUCGGCUCUGGGCUCCGUGGAUCCUUGGGUGCUGUUCAGAUGCCAUUGGCAGCAGGUGCAGAAGCACCUCUGUUCUCUCUGUGGAGCUGUCCAGUCAGUCAAGACCCUCUGUUUCCGUUGGCCGAGCUGCCUCCUUUAGAAGCUAUUCCAAGAGGAAGCAAGAUCUUUAUAAGAACAGCAUGGUCAGAAGCCAACACCAUCGGACAACUUACAAGGGGUCUCCCAAGAUCCCUCCAACUUUUGCUCAGACUUGGGCCCACGGGAGGGGAGACGUCUUGGAUUGGCUGUGCACCUGCCGGUCAGCCCACCGGAUGGGAACGUGGCCAGAGCGGGGGGCGGGGAGGAAUUGCACCCUUGGCUAUAACUCAACAGGAGCAUUCCAUCCAGCAAUUUUGUAGGUUUUUUGUUCUUAGGAAACCUGAGAAGUCAUCUCACUUUGUGUGUUUUGGUAAAGGAACCAAGUUUAAUGUUAAGCCGUGUGUCUAUGUGCUCAUCGUUCCGGGGUGACGUUUCUCUGCGGCAGGUGGAUUUCCCUGGGGGUGGUUGCGAUAGAGACCGCCCCCUAGUACCAGCAGUCCCGUCACUGUAGACACAAACAGGACAUGUACUUCAGAUUUCUCCCUGGGUGAUGCUCGUCCCCACUCAAAGCAAUAUCUGACUGACACCUUUCUCCAAACUCCACACCACAGACAUACACCCACCUGCACACACGCACACACCUGAUUUUUCUGAUCACUCAUUUACUUUUUGGUGGGUUUCAUUGUCUAAAUGCUCCCAAUUAUUCCCUACACGUAAUAAAGCUCCAAUCCACUCCUUUAGCCCCCAACUUUGAAGGAAAGAAAGCGAAACAAAACUUUUGAUUUGGCUGUGUUCCCCCUCCUAAUUUCAUGAUGCAUAUUAAAUUUUUACUGUCGACAA